This 206-nucleotide ribosomal RNA is filed under the name Klebsiella quasipneumoniae. RNAcentral's name for it is "partial 16S rRNA. Bacterial SSU". It matches the Rfam family "Bacterial small subunit ribosomal RNA", at positions 1 to 214 of the family's 1533-position model. The record is from RNAcentral. Lineage: Bacteria; Pseudomonadati; Pseudomonadota; Gammaproteobacteria; Enterobacterales; Enterobacteriaceae.
UUAAAUUGAAGAGUUUGAUCAUGGCUCAGAUUGAACGCUGGCGGCAGGCCUAACACAUGCAAGUCGAGCGGUAGCACAGAGAGCUUGCUCUCGGGUGACGAGCGGCGGACGGGUGAGUAAUGUCUGGGAAACUGCCUGAUGGAGGGGGAUAACUACUGGAAACGGUAGCUAAUACCGCAUAACGUCGCAAGACCAAAGUGGGGGAC